RNAcentral lists this ribosomal RNA (397 nucleotides) under Klebsiella sp. TU2. RNAcentral describes it as "bacterial SSU rRNA". It matches the Rfam family "Bacterial small subunit ribosomal RNA", at positions 959 to 1354 of the family's 1533-position model. Lineage: Bacteria; Pseudomonadati; Pseudomonadota; Gammaproteobacteria; Enterobacterales; Enterobacteriaceae. The record is from RNAcentral.
ACGGGAAGACCCUGCCCUGCUCUUGACAUCCAGAGAAAUAAUGAUAGAUGCUUGGGGGCGUUUCGGAACUCUGAGACAGGUGUUGCAGGGCCGUCGUCAGCUUGUGUUGUGAAAUGUUGGGUUAAGUCCCGCAACGAGCGCAACCCUUAUCCUUUGUUGCCACCGGUCCGGCGGGGAACUCAAAGGAGACGGCCAUUGAUAGGGGGGGAGGAAGGUCGGGAUGACGUCAAGUCAUCAUGGGCCUUACGAGUAGGGUUACCCACGUGCUCCAAUGCCAUAUUUUUACAGCCCCGCCCUCGCGAGAGCAAACGGACCUGAUACCCGCCCUCUUAGUCCGGAUCGGAGUCUGCACCUCAGACUCCAUGAAGUCGGAAUCGCUAGUAAUUCGGGAUCAUAA